AGGGAUUGCCUCAGUAACGGCGAGUGAAGCGGCAACAGCUCAAAUUUGAAAUCUGGCUCCUUCGGGGCCCGAGUUGUAAUUUGCAGAGGAUGCGUCGGGUACGGGUGCCUUCCGAGUUCCCUGGAACGGGACGCCAUAGAGGGUGAGAGCCCCGUCUGGUAGGAUACCCAGCCCGUGUGACGCUCCCUCGACGAGUCGAGUAGUUUGGGAAUGCUGCUCUAACGGGAGGUAUACUCCUUCCAAGGCUAAAUACCGGCUGGAGACCGAUAGCGCACAAGUAGAGUGAUCGAAAGAUGAAAAGCACUUUGAAAAGAGAGUCAAACAGCACGUGAAAUUGUUAAAAGGGAAGCGCUCGCUACCAGACUUGGGUUCGGCGGUUCAACCGGGGCCACGCCCCGGGGCAUUCCGCCGGCCCAGGCCAGCAUCAGCUUUCCGUCGGGGGUAAAGGCGUCGGGAAUGUGGCUCCCCUUCGGGGGAGUGUUAUAGCCCGUCGUGUCAUACCCUUCGGGGGGCUGAGGUACGCGCUUCUGCAAGGAUGCUGGCGUAAUGGUAGCUAGUGACCCGUCUUGAACACGACCAAA
This 581-nucleotide ribosomal RNA is filed under the name Plectosphaerella cucumerina. RNAcentral's name for it is "eukaryotic LSU rRNA". It matches the Rfam family "Eukaryotic large subunit ribosomal RNA", at positions 70 to 669 of the family's 3401-position model. Lineage: Eukaryota; Fungi; Ascomycota; Sordariomycetes; Glomerellales; Plectosphaerellaceae. The record is from RNAcentral.